CCUACGGGAGGCAGCAGUGGGGAAUAUUGCGCAAUGGGCGAAAGCCUGACGCAGCGACGCCGCGUGAGGGAUGAAGGCCUUCGGGUUGUAAACCUCUUUCAGCAGGGACGAAAUCAGACGGUACCUGCAGAAGAAGCACCGGCCAACUACGUGCCAGCAGCCGCGGUAAUACGUAGGGUGCAAGCGUUGUCCGGAAUUAUUGGGCGUAAAGAGCUCGUAGGCGGUUUGUCGCGUCGGCUGUGAAAACUCGGGGCUCAACCCCGAGCCUGCAGUCGAUACGGGCAGACUAGAGUGCUGUAGGGGAGACUGGAAUUCCUGGUGUAGCGGUGAAAUGCGCAGAUAUCAGGAGGAACACCGGUGGCGAAGGCGGGUCUCUGGGCAGUAACUGACGCUGAGGAGCGAAAGCGUGGGGAGCAAACAGGAUUAGAUACCCUGGUAGUCCACGCCGUAAACGGUGGGUGCUAGGUGUAGGUCGUAUUCCACGCGAUCUGUGCCGCAGCUAACGCAUUAAGCACCCCGCCUGGGGAGUACGGCCGCAAGGCUAAAACNCAAAGGAAUUGACGG
RNAcentral lists this ribosomal RNA (564 nucleotides) under uncultured bacterium. RNAcentral describes it as "bacterial SSU rRNA". It matches the Rfam family "Bacterial small subunit ribosomal RNA", at positions 338 to 916 of the family's 1533-position model. The record is from RNAcentral.